Stylophora pistillata is the source of this 520-nucleotide long non-coding RNA. The record is from RefSeq and is a predicted model, not a curated record. Lineage: Eukaryota; Metazoa; Cnidaria; Anthozoa; Scleractinia; Pocilloporidae.
GAACUGCAGUGAAAGAAGCUCAAGCAUAAGUUCAAUCAAUCGAUAUGCUGUUUUCUUCAAUGGUGUAACUCGCACUGCACUGUUAGGUUUGUACGUUUCCAGAUACGUUGAAUUAAGGAUUUUUUCAUAAAAAUGCGUCCUGGAGUGAUGAACAGGAAGUUCUAAAGAUGGGGAUUGAUAUCACUCAAAAUGAGUGUGAUUAUCAGUUCUCAAAACAAGGAAUAUACACUGACAAUUUGCCUGUACCUAAAUGCUCAUUGUAGAGGCUUUAGGACAUAUUCUUCAAGAAAUUGAUACGGUAACUUUUCUUUUGAAUCAUACUGGAGAUUAAAACAAUAAUAAGUUGACAGUCACAACAACAAUCCCUUUACAAGGAUGAAUAUCCUUGCUGGUGUAUGACUGUAAUUACUUCUGUCAACAAGUGGUUUAUAUUUAGUUUGAGAUUCUUUACUCUGGUUCAGUAAUUUUUUGUAUAGUAAUCACAUGAUUGUAUGUAAAAGUUACAAAUGGUAGCAGUUUA